UACGUAGGGGGCAAGCGUUAUCCGGAUUUACUGGGUGUAAAGGGAGCGUAGACGGUGAUGUAAGUCAGAUGUGAAAGCCCAGGGCUCAACCCUGGGACUGCAUUUGAAACUAUGUUACUAGAGUGCAGGAGAGGUAAGUGGAAUUCCUAGUGUAGCGGUGAAAUGCGUAGAUAUUAGGAGGAACACCAGUGGCGAAGGCGGCUUACUGGACUGUAACUGACGUUGAGGCUCGAAAGCGUGGGGAGCAAACAGG
This 253-nucleotide ribosomal RNA is filed under the name uncultured bacterium. RNAcentral's name for it is "partial 16S ribosomal RNA". It matches the Rfam family "Bacterial small subunit ribosomal RNA", at positions 524 to 776 of the family's 1533-position model. The record is from RNAcentral.